This is an unclassified non-coding RNA of Panthera pardus (leopard), 289 nucleotides long. Its record names the gene 7SK. It matches the Rfam family "7SK RNA". From Rfam's summary of the family: 7SK was discovered as an abundant small nuclear RNA in the mid-70s but a possible function has only recently been suggested. Two independent studies have found that 7SK RNA binds the CDK9/cyclin T complex (known as elongation factor P-TEFb). The record is from Ensembl. Lineage: Eukaryota; Metazoa; Chordata; Mammalia; Carnivora; Felidae.
GGAUGUGAGGGUGAUCUGGCUGCGACAUCUGUCACCCCAUUGAUCGCCAGGGUUGAUUCCACUGGUCUGGCAGGCUAAGCGGGCAUCCCCUUCCUCCCUCACCGCUCCAAGUGCAUCCCUCCUGAAGCUGCGUGCUCUGGAAGAGGACGACCUUCCCGAUAGAGGAGGAGCGUUCUUUCGUCAAGGGUAUACGAGUAACUGCGCUCCCCUGCUAGAACCUCCAAACAAGCUCUCAAGGAAUGCAAACUUUGUUAACUAGAUGAUGUGACAAUUUAAAUGGUGACAAUUU